GGGAUUGUAGCUCAGUUGGUAGAAUGCUUGCCUACUCUGCAUGAAGCCUUGGUUUGAUUCCCAGUCCCA
This 69-nucleotide transfer RNA is filed under the name Mus musculus (house mouse). Its description in RNAcentral is "tRNA-Ser". Lineage: Eukaryota; Metazoa; Chordata; Mammalia; Rodentia; Muridae. The record is from RNAcentral.